AUGAGCCUGCAUAUCUUUAACGUUAUUUACUCAUGGGUAGAUUACUGGGAUAUGCCAAACAGAAGCUUACUCCAUAUAUCAGCACAGCAAAGAGGAACUGGUGUUGAAUUAAAGAUUACAUUUCAGCUUGAUAAGCCCUCUAUUCCCAGUCCCAGCAUGACUGUGCACAGUGACACAACGGAAGGGGUGCUGUAAGUGAAACAUGGCGUCUCCUCACAAAGUGGCAAAACCGAAGGGACAGGAUGCAGCAACAUGAAGUCAGGACAAACAGCAGGGGGAUGCUGGGAGUUCCUGCAGUUGGCAACAUCUGCAUGGGGAACGGCAGCCUUGGAUUUCUG
Molecule: long non-coding RNA, 338 nt
Filed under: Numida meleagris (helmeted guineafowl)
Lineage: Eukaryota; Metazoa; Chordata; Aves; Galliformes; Numididae
Description: lncRNA (ENSNMEG00000001488.1)
Source: RNAcentral